UUGAGACCUACACCCUAGUAUCUUGGUUUUAUUGGUGUUACCUGGAGUUAUUGCCCAAAGCCUGUAGUACCUAAAACUUUGACAUCAAUACUGCUUCACUUAUCUUAAAAAACAGUGUGUGUGUGUGGUUUUUUUUCAUAAUGUUGGGAUAGUUUACAGUUACAUAUGUAAAGGAAAGUAAUGCAAGUAAUAUUGUUAGGAAAUGCAUAAGCAGGGGGAAAAAUAAUAGGGGAGAAAAAGAAGACUAUUGUGAUAGUUUUCAUUAAAAGCAAACAUUUUUACAUCACUAUUAUAUUUUUUUUUUUCCCCAAACAAUCCUACAGCAAUCCUGUACAGCUCCUUAAAGUAACCUUUCAUUUCUUGCAGAAUUUUUACCUUCUUCAUCAGCAGAAAUCCCAGUGGCAAACACAUAGAUCCUGAAGAUCAGAUUUGAUUCAGUAAGCAUCCACAGGAAUUAAUGGGAAUGUGGAGAUAGAAUUGAGAGCUGAAGACUGUCUGAGAAAAUUCGGAAAACCCAGGUAGAGUGACAGGUGUACAAGAAAUGGAAUAAUCUAACCUGAGAGUGUGCAAGCAUUCUGGAAAUACAAAACCUAAGGAUUCUGUCUAUGUGGUUUUUUGUAUUCUCACCAGUGGCCACAGUCCUCCAAGGAUUGAUGGGUGAAUGCUGCGAGGUGGUCCAGGCGACUCUAUGGAACAUUCUCCAAUGGGCUAGUAGAAUGAGAAGAUCCAAAAGUAGUUUGGAAAACAAGGAGAAACAUCACCUCUCAUGACGGUAAACUUACCGAGAAGGUAAUUCAUGUUAGACUGUUGUUGCACAGCCCGCUCUUAAAGCUCAUGUAUGUAACAUGUAGCAGAAAACUAGUAGGGAAUGCUGUUUGAAUUUUCAUACUAAGUCCUCUGACUUUCUACCCCUUUCCUUGUGUGAGGGAGAAUUUGGAGGCUAUAUUUUAUGGAACUUUUCUUGCUUUCCCUUGAAAUUGUGCAAGAGCAUAAAUAAAAAAUUUACAGUGACUUAACA
RNAcentral lists this long non-coding RNA (1018 nucleotides) under Coturnix japonica (Japanese quail). Its description in RNAcentral is "lncRNA (ENSCJPG00005010807.1)". Lineage: Eukaryota; Metazoa; Chordata; Aves; Galliformes; Phasianidae. The record is from RNAcentral.